CCUACGGGUGGCUGCAGUGGGGAAUAUUGGACAAUGGGGGAAACCCUGAUCCAGCAAUGCCGCGUGUGUGAAGAAGGCCUGCGGGUUGUAAAGCACUUUCGGUUGGGAAGAAAAGUUUGGCGCCAAUACCGCCGAACCUUGACGUUACUGACAGAAGAAGCACCGGCUAACUCUGUGCCAGCAGCCGCGGUAAUACAGAGGGUGCAAGCGUUAAUCGGAAUUACGGGGGGGGUAGUGCGCGUAGGGGGUCAACUCCCCGGGCUUAACCUGGGAACUGCAUUCGAUACUACAUGGCUAGAGUAUGGUAGAGGAAAGUGGAAUUUCCGGUGUAGCGGUGAAAUGCGUAGAUAUCGGAAGGAACACCAAUGGCGAAGGCAGCUUCCUGGACUAAUACUGACACUGAGGCACGAAAGCGUGGGUAGCAAACAGGAUUAGAUACCCGAGUAGUC
Molecule: ribosomal RNA, 449 nt
Filed under: uncultured bacterium
Lineage: Bacteria
Description: partial 16S ribosomal RNA
Rfam family: Bacterial small subunit ribosomal RNA
Source: RNAcentral